UAUAUAAAGAAACUAUUAUGGAAAAUUAGCUAUAUAUCAAAGAUACUUAGUCGAACUAAAAUCUAAGAAAAAUCUAAUAAAAAAACAAAGUGAAUUGAAAUAUCUUAGUAACUUUAGGAAAAAAAAUCAAACGAGAUUCUAUAAUUAGUGUAAGCUAAUAUAGAAAAGCUUCAAAGUAAAAUGGAAAAAAAUCUGUUUGAAGAAAAUAGGGGAACCUUCCUCUAAAGCUAAAUAUGAUAUAUAAGCGAUAGUAAAAAGUACCGUGAGGUAAAAUUUGAAAUAGUAGUUUUAUAAGCAGCUCAAGUUAAAUCUAAGUAAAAAAAUAAGAGCGUACCUUUUGCAUAAUGGGUCAGCAAGUUAAAAUUAGAAGCAAGCAUUUAUUUAUUUAAGAUAUGUUGUAUAUACUAUUAUAUAUAUCUGUUAGUAAUAACAUAUAUAUAUUUGGUUACACAGAAGCCCCUUUGUAGUAAUCGACCCUUCCUCUUACUUCUUUUUAUCUCUACGUAAAGAAAGCAAUGGAUAAAAAAAAAAGAAGGGGGAGAGUUCUCUUAUAUACACUUAUACGAACUAAAUAAUUGCCCAGAUAAACCAAUUAUGAAAAAAUGAAAAGUUUCUAAAUUUAGACCCGAAGACUAGUGAUCUUACCAUGAUCAGGGUUAAAAAGGCCCGAACGGUUUAUCGUUGUAAAGAUAUCCGAGGAAUUGUGGUAAGUUGGUGAAAGAUAAAACUGACUAGUAAUAGCUGGUUUUCCGCGAAACCUAUGUGAGUAGGUAGUUUAACUAACAUCUUAGCAGGUACAGAACUGUGAUCUCGAACAAUAACUAAAAAAUUAGAUUUUGUAGACAUCGGGGGAUCGUAGUGAUUUUAUCGGAGAGUAUUUGCACUCGGAAGGGCAAAGAUGAAUGUUGAAUAAUCGGACAUAGUGCGAUAAGGUUGUAUGUCUAAAGGGAAACAGCCCAGAACAAGAGUUAUAAGGUUCCAAAAUUAUUGUUAAGUGAAAUUAAGGAUGUUAAUAUCAAAUACAAUCAGGAAAUAGGCUUAGAAGCGGCCAUUUUUUGAAGACCUCGUAACAGAGCACUGAUUUAAAAUUAAUAGAUAUUAAAACCGAAAAUAUAACGGAUCUAAACAAUAUACCGAAACCUUGUACAUAUGUAAAAUAUAUAAUAUAUUCUAUAUAUGGGGUAGCGGAACAUUGGAUAAAUCUUAAAAUUUAUUUCUUAUCAAGAGUAAAUAAUAAUGGGGGCUAAUAAGAAAAAUCCAAGAGAGAAUGCUGACAUGAGUAACGAAAAAGGAAUAAAUUUCCUCGCCUUAAGCUUAUGGUAUUUUAAUUAAAUUUCGGUAUCUAAGUAAGUAAAGCUAUAAUAUAAUAUGAUUAUCAAGUAUCUAAGGAGGGUAUAUAAGGUAUAAUCUUAUUAUAUAAAGAUCAUCAUAAAAUAGUGUGUUAAUUUUUAUGAGUCCCCGCGCGCUCCGCGCGCGGGGACGCGUCCCCGCGCGGUCUGCGCGCGGGGACCCGGGUAAAUAUAGUUUAAAAUGAUGAAUUAGAUUUUGAGAAAUAAAAACCUUUAUUAAGUGUUAAAGGUUCAGGAAAAAAAAUCAAAAAAUAUAUUCAAUACUAAUUGAAUGAAAUCAAAGUCAUUCUAUAAUUUCUUAUAUCUUUUCAUGAUAUAUAUUACAUCUAAUAGAAAUUAUAGAAUAGUAUGGGAAGGGGGUUCUAUAUACUGCUGUAUAUGUAGCAGCGACAAUACCGUACCUAAAUACUAACACAAGUAAGCAAGUAGAGUAUACAAAGGCGUUUGAGUGAACAAUCCUUAAGGAACUCGGCAAAAUGACUACCGUAACUUCGGGAUAAGGAGGGCCAUUAUAAUAGAUAUUACGAAUUAAAUACCAUAAUUUAGUAAAUCUAGUUUAUAAGAGGAAGCAUAGAAUAGUGUUGUACGACUGUUUAAUAAAAACAAAGCACUCUGCAAAGAUAAAUUAUCUAAGUAUUGAGUGUGAUGUCUGCCCGAUGUCGGCAGGGUAACUGAUUUUCUUAAUUUUAAAAAAUUAGGUUUUGAUGGACACCCCGAUCAAUGGCGGCCUUAUCUAUAAGGGUCCUAAGGUAGCGGAAUACCUUGGCCGUUAAAUGCGGUCUUUGCAUGAAUGAUUUAACGAUACAACAGCUGUCUCGAGGAUUGGCUCAGUGAAAUUGAAUUAGCAGUGCAGAUGCUGCUUACCUCUAGGUAGACGAGAAGACCCUAUGCAGCUUUACUGUUACCUAUCAAGGAUAUAGUGAUAAUUUUCAGUGGAUAAGGUAAUUCAUUUGCAAUUGGAACACCUUUAUUUGUUCUAUUAUAUACCUAAAUGAUAGGAAGGCAGUUUAUGCGGGGCACAGAUCCCAUAAAAAGUACCUGGGUAUAUCCAAAGUUCAUAUUGUAAAUAUGUAAAUUAUAAAUUUACAAACUAAUAAUUUAUCAAUUAUCCCCGCGCGCUCCGCGCGCGGGGACCCCGAUAAAUUAUAAAUUUAUUUUGUUAUUAAUUAUAAAAAUAAUUAUCCAGUUAUUAUUGUUUUAAAGACGAAUUUAUAUUACUGUUAAGUAAGAUUUUAACUAUAAGGUAAAUAGUUGUAAAUAUAUUAUUAAUAAAAAUAUUAAUAAUAAACUCAUAUAAAUAAAAAAUAAGAUACUUUUAUAUAUAUGAUAUUAAAUUUUACUAUAAAAGUUUAAUGGCUUAAUCUUGCUUUACUGUUUGACUUACAGGUCUAUCAGUCGCGUAAGCGGGGCAUAUGAUCACAAGAUGCAGAAAGGAAAGGUCUUGGAUUCUAGAAAAAGUUACGCUAGGGAUUACUUGUUAGUCCUCCAAUGGUGUGAAGCAUUGGUAAAAUAUUGGGAAAAUUUCAAAAAUAACUUAUAUUGCAUUGCAAUUUUUAAGUCUAUUUGAAGCGAAACUUAUUUAAGCAUAUUUUUGCUAAUAUGCGCAAGAGAGUACAAAUUGAGUGCGCGGUUUGGCACCUCGAUGUCGGCUUAGCCCUUCCACAUGAAUGUAGAAAUCAUGAAGGGUUCGACUGUUCGUCGAUUAAAGGGCUACGUGAGCUGG
This 3072-nucleotide ribosomal RNA is filed under the name Gymnascella citrina. RNAcentral's name for it is "large subunit ribosomal RNA". It matches the Rfam family "Bacterial large subunit ribosomal RNA", at positions 1 to 2608 of the family's 2925-position model. The record is from RNAcentral. Lineage: Eukaryota; Fungi; Ascomycota; Eurotiomycetes; Onygenales; Gymnoascaceae.